GGUGGAUCUUACUACAUGAACCAAUAAGUGAGAGCCAGUGCCAGAAAAAUAGGAAGUCUCGUGUGUUAGUUACAGUUCACAGAAACCUCAAGUCAAACCAAGUUUCCUCACCCCCGCUCUCCCUUGCCCAGUCCUCCCAACCCUACUUCCUCCACACUGCUCUCCCUUCCUUCCAUCCAGGCUACUGUAACUCCCAUCCUCUUGCAGAUCCCAGGCCUCACAGCCAUGUAGGACAAGAAUCCACAGACAAACACUGCAGCGCACAGUGGUCUCCUGCUGCCAGCUCAGCUUGUAUCCACAGGGAUGCCUCCAGCUCUGUUAUAAGCUCUGGGUUUAAAUAUGAAUCCCUGGCUGAUUUCGGUGUAGACUCUCCUUAUGACGAUGGGGGUGUCUUUAAGCAAAACACACACUCAGCAUAUCCAUAUAUCAAUGACAGGGACUUUGCAUUUGACUCUAUCUGUAACUUCGACUCUCUUUACGACAGCGACUCAGAGAAGCAGAACGAGGCCCACGCUGAGCCUGACACGCCUGUUAGCCAGGCACCAGGUUGCACCACACCCUAUAAGAAUAUUGAUGUCAUUAUGACAUAUUCAAACAGCCUCGGUGCUAUGGACUCACUUUAUUCUGCAAAACACGCACACUCACACACAGACCAUAACAGUAACAAGGCCAGGACCUCCAAGGAGCUCCCUCCUCUCCCCACCUACUACCUGUACCACCCAAAGAACUGCCCUCUGCACAAGGGUGCCCCUCCUCGCCUCUCCCCUAUCGGAGCCCUUUCCCCCCCUCAGCGCUCUGGAGCGCCCCCUCCAGGUGCAGCGGGCACCUGUCUCAGCUCCCCGCUUUUUCCCCGCUCGCACACCUUGCCUGCCCUCGCUGCUCCCCUGUACUAUCCCAACCUCUACACUCCUGUCCCACCCAGUGCGCCCCCCUUACCCCCAAAAAUCUACCAGGCUCCUCCACAGUCACGCGUGGCGAGUAAGAUCUCUCUCUCUCUCUCUCUUUCUCCCUACAUCUUACACUCUCUUUGUGAC
Long non-coding RNA from Parambassis ranga (Indian glassy fish), 1034 nucleotides. Lineage: Eukaryota; Metazoa; Chordata; Actinopteri; Ambassidae. The record is from Ensembl.